UACGUAGGUGGCAAGCGUUGUCCGGAAUUAUUGGGCGUAAAGCGCGCGCAGGCGGUCCCUUAAGUCUGAUGUGAAAUCCCACGGCUCAACCGUGGAAGGUCAUUGGAAACUGGGGGACUUGAGUACAGAAGAGGAAAGCGGAAUUCCAAGUGUAGCGGUGAAAUGCGUAGAGAUUUGGAGGAACACCAGUGGCGAAGGCGGCUUUCUGGUCUGAACUGACGCUGAG
Molecule: ribosomal RNA, 226 nt
Filed under: uncultured bacterium
Lineage: Bacteria
Description: partial 16S ribosomal RNA
Rfam family: Bacterial small subunit ribosomal RNA
Source: RNAcentral